GACGAACGCUGGCGGCGUGCUUAACACAUGCAAGUCGAACGGAAAGGCCCUGCUUUUGUGGGGUGCUCGAGUGGCGAACGGGUGAGUAACACGUGAGUAACCUGCCCUUGACUUUGGGAUAACUUCAGGAAACUGGGGCUAAUACCGGAUAGGAGCUCCUGCUGCAUGGUGGGGGUUGGAAAGUUUCGGCGGUUGGGGAUGGACUCGCGGCUUAUCAGCUUGUUGGUGGGGUAGUGGCUUACCAAGGCUUUGACGGGUAGCCGGCCUGAGAGGGUGACCGGCCACAUUGGGACUGAGAUACGGCCCAGACUCCUACGGGAGGCAGCAGUGGGGAAUAUUGCACAAUGGGCGGAAGCCUGAUGCAGCAACGCCGCGUGCAGGAUGACGGCCUUCGGGUUGUAAACCGCUUUCGCCUGUGACGAAGCGUGAGUGACGGUAAUGGGUAAAGAAGCACCGGCUAACUACGCG
This 468-nucleotide ribosomal RNA is filed under the name uncultured bacterium. Its description in RNAcentral is "partial 16S ribosomal RNA". It matches the Rfam family "Bacterial small subunit ribosomal RNA", at positions 28 to 507 of the family's 1533-position model. The record is from RNAcentral.